AACGUAGGUCCCGAGCGUUAUCCGGAUUUACUGGGCGUAAAGCGCGUUCAGGCGGCCGCGCAAGUCGGGCAUGAAAUCUCUCGGCUCAACCGGGAGGGGUUGUCCGAUACUGUGCGGCUGGAGGGCAGUAGAGGGUGGUGGAAUUCCGGGUGUAGUGGUGAAAUGCGUAGAGAUCCGGAGGAACACCAGUGGCGAAAGCGGCCACCUGGACUGUACCUGACGCUGCAACGCGAAAGCUAGGGGAGCGAACGGG
RNAcentral lists this ribosomal RNA (253 nucleotides) under uncultured bacterium. RNAcentral describes it as "partial 16S ribosomal RNA". It matches the Rfam family "Bacterial small subunit ribosomal RNA", at positions 524 to 776 of the family's 1533-position model. The record is from RNAcentral.